GACAGAGGGUGCAAACGUUGUUCGGAAUUACUGGGCGUAAAGCGCGUGUAGGCGGCAAGGCAAGUCGGAUGUGAAAGCCCGCGGCUCAACCGUGGAAGUGCACUCGAAACUGCCUAGCUAGAGUCUCGGAGAGGAAGGUGGAAUGCUUGGUGUAGAGGUGAAAUUCGUAGAUAUCAAGCAGAACACCCGUGGCGAAGGCGGCUCUCUGGGACGGUACUGACGCUGAGACGCGAAAGCGUGGGGAGCGAACAGG
RNAcentral lists this ribosomal RNA (253 nucleotides) under uncultured bacterium. RNAcentral describes it as "partial 16S ribosomal RNA". It matches the Rfam family "Bacterial small subunit ribosomal RNA", at positions 524 to 776 of the family's 1533-position model. The record is from RNAcentral.